AGGACGAACGCUGGCGGCGUGCUUAACACAUGCAAGUCGAGCGGAAAGGCCCUUCGGGGUACUCGAGCGGCGAACGGGUGAGUAACACGUGAGCAACCUGCCCUUAGCUCUGGGAUAGCUCCGGGAAAACCGGAAUUAAUACCGGAUACGACCACAGCCGACAUCUGCUGUGGUGGAAAGGAUUCCGGCUAAGGAUGGGCUCGCGGCCUAUCAGCUAGUUGGUGGAGUAACGGCCCACCAAGGCGACGAC
RNAcentral lists this ribosomal RNA (250 nucleotides) under uncultured bacterium. RNAcentral's name for it is "partial small subunit ribosomal RNA". It matches the Rfam family "Bacterial small subunit ribosomal RNA", at positions 26 to 280 of the family's 1533-position model. The record is from RNAcentral.